RNAcentral lists this ribosomal RNA (238 nucleotides) under Salmonella enterica subsp. enterica serovar Typhimurium. RNAcentral describes it as "partial 23S ribosomal RNA". The stretch from base 1 to 166 matches the Rfam family "Bacterial large subunit ribosomal RNA", at positions 1039 to 1205 of the family's 2925-position model. The record is from RNAcentral. Lineage: Bacteria; Pseudomonadati; Pseudomonadota; Gammaproteobacteria; Enterobacterales; Enterobacteriaceae.
CUAAGGGCCCAAAGUCAUGGUUAAGUGGGAAACGAUGUGGGAAGGCCCAGACAGCCAGGAUGUUGGCUUAGAAGCUGCCAUCAUUUAAAGAAAGCGUAAUAGCUCACUGGUCGAGUCGGCCUGCGCGGAAGAUGUAACGGGGCUAAACCAAGCACCGAAGCUGCGGCAGCGAACGUAUCACUUAAAGCGAUACAGCGGGUUACGAUUGACGGAGCGAAGCGACGUCAAAGCGAAUACA